Molecule: long non-coding RNA, 1384 nt
Filed under: Hordeum vulgare
Lineage: Eukaryota; Viridiplantae; Streptophyta; Magnoliopsida; Poales; Poaceae
Description: long non-coding RNA (HVUL_LNC016199)
Source: RNAcentral
GCAUGUCCAACUUCUCCUCUCUCCCACGUCCUGAAAAAGGGCAGCGUUGAUCUCGCCCUUCCCCCACUUCUUGCCUUCACGUGAUCUCGUCCCUCCCCUACGCACCACCACCAGAAAACUGUUACCUCUCUCAUCGUUCCUGAUCUCACGACUCCUCCUUCCCAUCCCCAGCCGCUGCCGGACGCCAUGGCCUAGCUUCCAGGAGCUCCUCCCCCACAGCGAAAAACAGAGUGAAAAAGCCGGAAAAAACGAAAAAAAAUCAUGGGGAUUGAGAGGCGAAAAUUAACAGUUGUGCCUGCAACUAUUUUGUCCUGGUCAGGCAAAAGUUCUGAACAUUAAGAGCAAUUCUAGUGCCACAGUUAGGCAAAAAUUGUCCAAUUGCAACAGCAAAAAAUAAACAAGGUGUUCCCAUGUCUACAAACUUCUGGAGAUUUUAGAGCAAUUCAAUUGUCUAGGGACUGUCGAACUAGUACAUUUUCCUGUGUACCCACCCCAGUGAUGUACUUCUUGCAGAAACGGCAAAAUUAGCAUCUGUACUGAAUUGAUGCUAAACCUGGUGAUGUUGGACCUGUUGUUGUUGUACCUUGCCUCGCCCUGUACACCUGUAUAACUUGGAUACUAUGAACAUAAAAGUUGUUGACUUCUGGCCAUUCGAUUGUAGCUUGACUAUUGUUUUACACCUUGCUUCUGGAAGAAAAAAUGAAAUGGAACAAGAAGCAUAUUUGUGUUACUAAGAACUGUGUGUAUGUACAUAAGCUUUCUACUCCCUCCGUUCCUAAAUAUAAGUCUUUGUAGAGAUUUCACUAGUUGACUACAUACGGAUGUAUAUAGACAUAUUUUAUUUGAUUCGUAUGUAGACCCUUAGUGAAAUCGUUUAAAAGACUUAUAUUUAGGAACAGAGGGAGUAGUUGCUUAGACCAAAAACUACGUCUAGUUGCAUACAAAAACACAGAAGUAUCCAUAGAAAAAAUGCGUGAAAACUAGUGGUACCAUACACAAUUUUGCUUGCCAUGACGCGACAGAAAAAAGGGAGAAUGCUAACAUUUUUUCAUUCUUGUCUUAAGAAAAUGCAUAUGGCUGGCAUUGAUCUCAGACCGAGUUCUUUUGAGCAGAUUAUGAAGAAUCUCGGUCUAAAAGAUCUUAAGCCAAAAGAACUCGAUUGCCUCUUCAAAAUCUUGAUAGGAUUCUAUAAAAUCCUAGUGCAAUCUAAAAUCUCCAAAAUAGUUGGAUUCUUCCACAAUCUCAGGAUUUUGGCUAGUCCCUCAAAAGAAAAUUGUUCGAGUUAAAAGAAUGCCCCUAUUACAGUAGGUUAUUACGGCAAGAAUGCCACCUUGCACGACUAGAGAGAACCCGCGUCCCUGCCUGGUGAUGCCCCGACUGUUCG